UACCUGCAGCUCAAGUGGUGGCCGUUAUUAUUGGGCCUAAAACGUCCGUAGCCGGUUUAUUAAAUGCCUGGGUAAAUCGGGCCGCUUAACGGUUCGAAUUCCGGGUAGACUGAUAAACUUGGGACCGGGAGAAGCUAGAGGUACUCCUGGGGUAGAGGUGAAAUUCCGUAAUCCUAGGGGGACCACCAGUGGCGAAGGCGUCUAGCUAGAACGGGUCUGACGGUGAGGGACGAAGCCCUGGGGCGCAAACCGGAUUAGAUACCCGGGUAGUCCAGGGUGUAAACGCUGCUUGCUUGAUGUUAGUCGGGCUCCGAGCCCGAUUAGUGUCGGAGAGAAGUUGUUAAGCAAGCUGCCUGGGAAGUACGGCCGCAAGACUGAAACUUAAAGGAAUUGGCGGGGAGCACUGCAACGGGUGGAGCGUGCGGUUU
Molecule: ribosomal RNA, 428 nt
Filed under: uncultured archaeon
Lineage: Archaea
Description: bacterial SSU rRNA
Rfam family: Archaeal small subunit ribosomal RNA
Source: RNAcentral